Molecule: long non-coding RNA, 918 nt
Organism: Chelonia mydas (Green sea turtle)
Lineage: Eukaryota; Metazoa; Chordata; Testudines; Cheloniidae
Exons: 3
Source: RefSeq, a predicted model, not a curated record
CCACACUGAUUUGACAGAAAAUGGGUCAAGCAAAAGAUGACAAUUAAAAUGUUGGAAGACAUAGUGACUACAUUUUCGCUGAAAAAGGAAGACCUGAGACCUACCUAUGCCUUUCCAUCCACCUACCUGGUAAUGUCCAGUACAGCAUAGGAAAAAGACUGUGUUGAAACAGUCACUAUGCACUUUUACUUGAAGAUGCUUAAAUAUCAUCAAAGUUUAGGAGUGUGGAGGAUGGUCAAAGAGCGAAAAGACACACAUGAGCUGCAAACAGAGUGUAAGACUGGAGUUUGAAGAACCAAGAAUAAGCCUUGGUUGCCUUCUCCAAGGGGAAAGGGGGAAUCACCGUUUCUCACAUGAGCUAGAAUGACCUCCAGCAGUUUGGUGAAGACCCAUUGCACAAGAAACAACCAGAGAAGACCCAUUCUCGACCUGACAAACUGCCUCACAAUCAAAGGCCGCAGAACAAUCUAUCUGCCAUCACUACCACUGUGAAGAACACCUGUCAGGUAGGGGAGGUGCCAACAGCAACUGGGGAUGGGAAAGCAUGGUGUUAGGGAAGGGAUUGCUGGUUUUAUGUGGUGGGGGGCUAUUACUUUACCCAUGCAACAUUGCAUGCAUCAUCAGGUGAGGUAGAAAAUGUUCAAGGGACCCCUCAUUAAAAUGUUGGUAGCACAUCACCAGUAAAUCUUGCAACAUAUGCAUCCUAUAGGAACCCCAAGGACAAAUUUGACAUAAUCUGGGGCCAUCUGUAUGAGAAAACAGCAUGUAGGUUAUUAAGAAUUCACCAGCACCUCAUGCGUAUUCUCCACCAUUCUUAUUCUCAUUUCCCCCCUUUCUUUAUCUUUUCUUUGUCUUUCAAGGUGUCAGCAGUAUUGGGAGGUUUGUCAGGGCUAAAGUGGGAGGUAUGGUUAUAUUGAA